RNAcentral lists this unclassified non-coding RNA (481 nucleotides) under Hevea brasiliensis (rubber tree). The record is from RNAcentral. Lineage: Eukaryota; Viridiplantae; Streptophyta; Magnoliopsida; Malpighiales; Euphorbiaceae.
UUAUGGUGCUGCUGUCCAGGCUGCUAUUCUGACUGGUGAGGGAAAUGAGAAGGUUCAGGACCUACUUCUGCUGGAUGUUACCCCUCUGUCUCUCGGGCUCGAGACUGCUGGAGGAGUGAUGACUGUUCUGAUCCCUAGAAACACCACCAUCCCUACCAAGAAGGAGCAGGUCUUCUCUACCUACUCUGAUAACCAGCCUGGUGUGUUGAUCCAGGUGUAUGAGGGUGAGAGAACCAGGACCCGUGACAACAAUCUUCUUGGUAAAUUUGAGCUUUCCGGCAUCCCUCCUGCUCCUAGAGGUGUCCCUCAGAUUACUGUCUGCUUUGAUAUCGAUGCCAAUGGUAUCCUGAAUGUGUCUGCUGAGGAUAAAACUACUGGGCAGAAGAACAAGAUCACCAUCACCAAUGACAAGGGCAGGCUCAGCAAGGAGGAGAUAGAGAAGAUGGUUCAAGAGGCGGAGAAGUACAAGUCUGAAGAUGAA